UAGAAGAAGAAGAAGAAACCU
Molecule: small RNA, 21 nt
Filed under: Arabidopsis thaliana (thale cress)
Lineage: Eukaryota; Viridiplantae; Streptophyta; Magnoliopsida; Brassicales; Brassicaceae
Description: ATSL116120
Source: RNAcentral